Molecule: long non-coding RNA, 700 nt
Organism: Neopelma chrysocephalum (saffron-crested tyrant-manakin)
Lineage: Eukaryota; Metazoa; Chordata; Aves; Passeriformes; Pipridae
Exons: 5
Source: RefSeq, a predicted model, not a curated record
AAGAGCAGCUCCACUUGCAGAGCCUCCUCCAGGGCAGCAUUUUCUGUGUGCCCUUGGUCAGGAGAGGAGCAAACCCGAGUUCAGUCUCUCCCCUUCAGCUGCUGCUUUGGGCACAAGAACUGAUGCCACAGUGCAUUAAAGGCAGUGGAGGAAUCUGCAGGGCCAGGCUGCAGGCAUCACAUCUGCACCAAGAGGAAGGAAUGACUCGGGAGCGUGGGCUGCUGUGAAGUAUCCGGGCAGGAAUAGAGAACUGGUGUUUUUCUGAGGAUUUCCUGAGUCUGGUUGUGGAGCCACGACUGUGCAGUGAUUUGUGUGUGUUGGGUCAGUGGAUUAAGGACUCUCCACUGCCUGUUUUGGAAAAGGGAACAUGAGAAAGCAUCAGGCAGUGUUUGAAAAGUCUUAGAGCAGGAGGAAACACUGGCUAGAGAGGAGUUGUGACCAUCCUUCUGCAAAGCACCUUCUGCUACCAAACCAACCUCCAACACCCCGUGUAAAACAAUUUCACAAGAGCCCUCAACACGCACGUUCUCAGGGUCACAGGGAGUUUUGGGUUUGGUUCUACGGAUUUCUGAGGAGACACAGCUCUGCAAGCACGAAAAGUUUUGUCUCUGUCAUCUCCUACUACUGAAAGAACCAGAACCUGGGUAUAAAUUCUGAGUUUCCCAAAAAGCAGUUCCUUUCAUGGUGCCUGGUCCCUCCA